ACUUUAAUACUUUUUAAGUAUAUAUGUGUAGAAAAUCGUGUAAUAUUGGAUGAGUUAUUAAUAAAUUUUUAAUAUUUAAAAUUAUCAAAAAUUAAAAUUUAAUAACUAAAAUUAAAAUUUUAAUACUUUAUCCGUCGAUUGCAUGAGUGUCAACCAAAAAUCUUGAUAUCUAUGAAUCACGUUUAAUCAGCAGGAUCAAUAUGAGUGAGAAAUCUAAAAUGAACACUGAAACAUUAUCUGUGGCUGACGUGCCGUUCCCGCCUGUUUGCUUCUGGUCUGGGCAGUCAAAUGCAAACUUUGAUCUGUAUUUUUUUUUUUUAAGCAAACGUUUAAUUUGAAAAGUUAUAUGAUAUAAUCUAUCAAUCUUUUGCAAAUCUAACCGAUCACCAAUCUUUUCUUCAUUAUCAGAUGAUGAUGAUGAUGAUGAUAUAUAUAGCAUGAUUUUUUUUUUUUUCAAUAGAAACCCCAGUUCCCGGAGCCGGUGACCCUGGGGACCCGCAGCCUUUUACUUUUCUAUUUGUUUAUCCGCCGCCUAUGUCCAGCUACCCUGAACCCAGCAAGUUGGCUUCAACGUAAUUAGAGAACGUGGGGUAAGGUCAAGUUACACCACUUGACAAUUAUGUUUGAACCUAAAACUGGGGCUUUUUUCUGGUGCUUCUUGUUGGCGGAAAGCUCUAUUUUUAAACUCAGAAAUCGCAGUCUGCGCCCCCCGCUAAAUCCAAAUGGCCGGCCUUUUAACUCGGAACAAACCUUUCCCUCUUAAAAAUUUCUUAAAUUUCUGACAAAGUAGUCUUCUUUAUUCAAUUUGGACAGGAAAAACAGGUUAGUAGACAAAAGAAACGAAAAUUGGAGUAGAAGUAGCAAACUUGCUUAAGCAAUGCAAGCAAGCCUUCUCGAAC
This 899-nucleotide long non-coding RNA is filed under the name Durio zibethinus. Its description in RNAcentral is "long non-coding RNA (DZIB_LNC000940)". The record is from RNAcentral. Lineage: Eukaryota; Viridiplantae; Streptophyta; Magnoliopsida; Malvales; Malvaceae.